Non-coding RNA from Phasianus colchicus (ring-necked pheasant), 333 nucleotides. Lineage: Eukaryota; Metazoa; Chordata; Aves; Galliformes; Phasianidae. The record is from RefSeq and is a predicted model, not a curated record.
UUGAGGGCGGAGGAGCUGUUCAAAAAUCACAUGAAGGUUGCCUGAGGACCGACGGAGAGCCAACGUCACCGCAGUCUUGAGAAAGAGCAAGAAGGAUGGCCUGCGCAACUGUAGGUUGGCAGUCUCACCUCCCUCCCUGGCACAGUGAUGGGACAGCUCGUUCUAGAUGUUACCUUCUCUUCCCGUUGCUCAGAGAUAUUUGUAAGGAGCAGCCACGGUGGAUUCAGCAAGGGGAAGCGAUGUCAGACUGAGCUGGGUGAGUGCCACAGCAGAGCAUUCAGCAGCGAGGAUCAGCCUGGAGUUGUGAGCCCUCUGACUGGUCUGCCCUGCGUU